UACGAAGGGGGGCUAGCGUUGCUCGGAAUCACUGGGCGUAAAGCGCACGUAGGCGGAUUGCUAAGUCAGGGGUGAAAUCCUGGAGCUCAACUCCAGAACUGCCUUUGAUACUGGAGAGCUCGAGUCCGGGAGAGGUGAGUGGAACUCCGAGUGUAGAGGUGAAAUUCGUAAGAUAUUCGGAAGAACCACCAAGUGGCGAA
RNAcentral lists this ribosomal RNA (200 nucleotides) under uncultured bacterium. RNAcentral's name for it is "partial 16S ribosomal RNA". It matches the Rfam family "Bacterial small subunit ribosomal RNA", at positions 524 to 719 of the family's 1533-position model. The record is from RNAcentral.